This is a long non-coding RNA of Monodelphis domestica (gray short-tailed opossum), 975 nucleotides long. RefSeq lists it as uncharacterized. NCBI's taxonomy places the organism in Eukaryota, Metazoa, Chordata, Mammalia, Didelphimorphia, Didelphidae. The record is from RefSeq and is a predicted model, not a curated record.
CAUCGUCUACUUAGUCAUCAUUUGUCAAUGCAGGAGCAAUCUAGAAUGAGAACAUGGGGAUGGGCUGUGGCACCUGGGAGGACCACUACAGAUCAUAUUAAAGAUGAAGAAAUGGAAGGAAACACAGUUAAGUGACUUGCCCAUGAUCACAUAGCAUUUUUCAGCACAGCCUGACACAAAUGAGUUUCCCAGAAACAGAAAAGAAUAUGCACCCAGGGAAGACCACCAAGGAACAACAACCCCCUGGAAUGACAUGAAGAAACCUUCUUUGACUUCCUUCGUUUCAUACUUUGCAAUAUCCACAUCUUUGCAACUUCUAUCUAAAAGGAGCUUGGAAAAUAUGGUCUCAGAUCACAUUCUCAGUGGUCUCCUGCCUUUGCUGCAGUAAGGAGGAUCAGCUGCCCAAUUUUCUCAGAGCCAUCCAGUGUAUCCUGACAUGGAAAAAAUAAAGUAGAAACAGCAUGUGUGAAGACCUAGACUUGAAUCUCAGCUCCACCAUGCACUACUACCUACGUGACCAUCAGCAAGUCUAUAUCAACUUCAUCAUCUCCACACCAUUAUCAUCAGCAGUAGCAGCCUGAAAGUUAGAAGUCACUGACUUUCAUCCCAAGACUGAUAUUGCCAAUUGUAUAUUCUGUAUAUGUAUUAAGCUAAGUUUCAAGAAACUCUCUAAGACCUCUCAACUAAUCAAUCAAUCAAUCGAUCAAUAAUAUCUUAAUAAAUAUCUAGCAUGUCCGAGGUACAGGGGAUACACAUAUAAAGAACAAAACUAUUAAAACUAUUAGACUAUUAUUCUUAAACUAUAUAAAACUAUUAAAAAUUUCAAGGAUCUUAGUUGUAGAUGGCCUGGAAACUUCACCGGCAGAUUUUUUUAUACCAACAAAAACAUAGAUGGCAUUGGUAGAGAUCUCACACUAGUUGGAAUCUCAGAUCUUUGAUAUGUGAAUCCCAAAGCAUGCACACAAGUCCUGUUUC